UGGGGAAUAUUGGACAAUGGGCGCAAGCCUGAUCCAGCCAUGCCGCGUGAGUGAUGAAGGCCCUAGGGUUGUAAAGCUCUUUCACCGGUGAAGAUAAUGACGGUAACCGGAGAAGAAGCCCCGGCUAACUUCGUGCCAGCAGCCGCGGUAAUACGAAGGGGGCUAGCGUUGUUCGGAAUUACUGGGCGUAAAGCGCACGUAGGCGGACAUUUAAGUCAGGGGUGAAAUCCCGGGGCUCAACCCCGGAACUGCCUUUGAUACUGGGUGUCUGGAGUCCGGAAGAGGUGAGUGGAAUUCCGAGUGUAGAGGUGAAAUUCGUAGAUAUUCGGAGGAACACCAGUGGCGAAGGCGGCUCACUGGUCCGGUACUGACGCUGAGGUGCGAAAGCGUGGGGAGCAAACA
Molecule: ribosomal RNA, 402 nt
Filed under: uncultured prokaryote
Description: bacterial SSU rRNA
Rfam family: Bacterial small subunit ribosomal RNA
Source: RNAcentral